AAACUUUCAACAACGGAUCUCUUGGCUCUCGCAUCGAUGAAGAACGCAGCGAAAUGCGAUAAGUAAUGUGAAUUGCAGAAUUCAGUGAAUCAUCGAAUCUUUGAACGCACCUUGCGCCCCUUGGUAUUCCGAGGGGCAUGCCUGUUUGAGUGUCAUUA
Molecule: ribosomal RNA, 158 nt
Filed under: Arrhenia philonotis
Lineage: Eukaryota; Fungi; Basidiomycota; Agaricomycetes; Agaricales; Hygrophoraceae
Description: 5.8S ribosomal RNA
Rfam family: 5.8S ribosomal RNA
About the family: 5.8S ribosomal RNA (5.8S rRNA) is a component of the large subunit of the eukaryotic ribosome. It is transcribed by RNA polymerase I as part of the 45S precursor that also contains 18S and 28S rRNA.
Source: RNAcentral